CUCUCCCCCCAAUUUCCACGUCUUUAUAACCGGCUCAGGGCAUUAUUAGCACAUGUCCUGGCUCGUGGGCGAGUUGGUGGCAAAAUCUGAACUGGAUACUCACCCAAGGGCCAGAGCGGGUGCUGCGCCUUCUUCAGCCCUUUUAUCCCCCUCGCCAGAAACUAUCCCUCGCCGGCUGUCUGUGGGCGGGCAGCCGGGCGGAGCGAGCCUCCUCUCGGCAGCUCAGCGGUGCCCCUUCUGCAGCUAUGCCGCUGGGACCAUUUUAUAGCGGCGGCUGGCGUGUGUGGCCCUUUAAAGGCGCUCGAGCUGGUGCAGUCACAGCGGAUCGUGUGAAAGCGAAGGGCCGGCUGGGGAACGGAGUCCGAGCGGCCCCGUGGGUCCGCCGGCGCCGGGGACCGGUCACGGCUCCCGGGGUGCAGCUGGCGGGCCCAGGCGUGGUCGCCCCGAGCCCCGAGCCCCCGGCCGACGCCUGCGUUUCUAAAGCAGGAAGGGGCCCGGGCCCCGGGCACAAUCUCUCCCCACCGCCCUGCAUGGACUUGCCCAAUAAAUUCCACUUAGUAAUUUCACUGAGGCGAGGGAGAGCUUACCCCAAAGUGCCCUGCAUUUGCUCUUUGAACAAAGUUCUGUUUGUUGAUGGACUGACCGGCUUACUGACGUAAAGAUGGGGAGCAAACAGAGGGACAGAUCAAGGCCCUUCUUUCGCGCUUGGAGGAAGCUGGGGCGAGUGCUCUGGACGCCAGGUAAACUCAUUCCCCAGCCCCCAAAGCUACCUUGCCUGUCUCCCUUCCCCUUACCCUGAGUCAACUCAAACCCCAGUAACAACCGCAUCCCACAAACCAUCUUCUCACUUUCUCGCGUUGCACAAAGAUCUUAGGUCGCGCCCAGCUUCCUUCUGAUAAAAGGCGGCAUCUGUCGGGACCCUAAAACCCUAUGAAGUUUGCUUGUGAAAUACACCCUCAAGCUAUCUUGGUAUUUGCCUGACGUAAGCGACCCCGGGCUUUCGAAUUGUGUUUUGCUAAUUUGGACCUCUGACCUACCCUUCACCUCAGCUCCUGCUCGGGAGCGAGUCUGGAAACCGCGGCAGCGUCUUCGCGGCAGGCUCCGGAUCCGGGAGGUUCUGGAUCCGCCCUCCAUCUAUUGGAUGGCUCCCAGGUCAAUUGUUAGAAAGAGGCAUAUGUUCAUCUCGGCUUCUGGAGUGUCUCCGGAGCAGUUGCUCAACAGCCAGCCCCCUCCCCCAUCCGGACCAUUGAAGGGCAGAAAAAGGAGCGCCCUCCGCCACGUUUCUCUACGCCUACAUGCCAGAAAGGGUCUCCCCACUGGUGACUUCCUGUCAUCUCUGCUGUCUACCUCCUGGGGAGCAGGAUAGAGAAGAGUUUCGAGCACUCAGCUUUGGAGCACAAAAGCCACCCCUUUCCUUUGGGGGUAGCUGGAAGGGGAGGUUAGUUGCAGAGGCCGGGAGAGAGCAAAGGAGACAUUUGCAUUUCUCUGCAAAUAUGCCCUGGAUCACUGACUUCCCAGUCGUCUCCAGCCGAGCUCAGAGCUCUCCGCUGAACUCUUAUCUUCAACUUGGCAACUAGACUGCGAGCUCGCAUGCGGAGGAGAGGACAGGGAUAAUCACCCAGCAAGAACUUUCUGUGCGCCAGCAUUGGACCUGGCCUGUUCCCAUCCAUUAUCUCAUUUAAUUCCCACGCCCUGUGAGGUAGGGUUUACCAAAGGUGAGAAGGAGUCUCAGAGAUUUGCCCAAGUUCACACAGCCAGGAGGCCAGGCAUUUGAAUCCAGGUUAAGCUAACUGCAGAAUCCUCACCUUCACCCUUGCGCCUUGCUGUUUGGCAAGGUAAAGGGACAUCUAAAAUGUGGUCAAGAGUACAGGUUCAGGGGCCAGUCCACCUGGGUUUAAAUCCCUGCUCUGCUAUUUACUAACUCUGUAAUGAAGACCAAUAGCUUCAUUCUUUUUUUUUAAAAUUUUUUCCAUUUAUUUUUAUUAGUUGGAGGCUAAUUACUUUACAAGCUUCAUUCUUCAGGCCUCAGUUUUCCUCAUCUGUUAAAUGGGGAUUAUAAUGGUAGCAACUAUGACGGCUCAGAGAAGGCAGUGGCACCCCACUCCAGUACUCUUGCCUGGAAAAUCCCAUGGACGGAGGAGCCUGGUAGGCUGCAGUCCAUGGGCUCGCUAAGAGUCAGACACGACUGAGCAACUUCAUUUUCACUUUUCACUUUCAUGCAUUGGAAAAGGAAAUGGCAACCCACUCCAGUGUUCUUGCCUGGAGAAUCCCAGGGACAGGGGAGCCUGGUGGGCUGCCGUCUAUGGGGUCGCACAGUCGGACACGACUGAAGUGACUUAGCAGCAGCAGCAGUAUGAGGGCUGUUGCAAGGAUCAACGGAAAAGCUUAAGUUGAUGCCUGCUAUGUAGUAAGUUGUCCACAAAUGCUGUACCUUCUGAUUCUUUUCCUUUUGCCUCCUUGUCCUGCCACAUCUUACAUACUUCAGGUCUCCUAGUCCUGCCUCAGUUUACAUACUUCAGGUCCAAUAAUACUUGAUGACUGAUUAAUUUAAAAACCAGGCUGUGAGGGGAUGAAGGAGGUCUAUAAACACAGGCAGGGAAGAAGAGGAAAAUGCAGAUUUGUCUUCAGAAUCCCAUUUUCCAGAACCAAGGGCUAUCUGAGCCUUAUGACAGGAGUAAAUUGAGGACCAAUAAAAGAUGAUGACUUUUUACAGGACAGUCGGUAUGCAUAGAGUGGUCUCUAGAAACAUAUAUUCAAUAAGUGUGUAGAAAAGUUAAAAAGCACAUGUUACCAUGUAGCUUGCAGGAUCUCAGUUCCUCGACCAAGGAUGGAACCCGGGCCACAGCAGUGAAAGGCUGGACUCCUAACCACUAGGCAACCAGGGGACUCCCCAGAAAGCAAAAGUCUGUGUUCAAGAAUGUUUUGAGCAGAAUUGUUUGUGAUAAUGAAAAAUGGAAAGCAAUUUAAAUGUCCAUGGUGAGAAAGCAUCCUUCAGUACCUUAACACUAAAAAAAAAAUCCUGAUUUCAAAAACUUUUAUUCAUGGGAAAAUGUUCACAAAAAUAUUAAAUAAAAAAACACUGGGUACAAAGUUGCAUAAAUAUGAUGCCAAGUUGCAAAGGGCAUGAAGAGCAGAAAAUUAAAUAUUCACUAUGUUUCCAACCAUGUAUAAAUAUGGGCAAUGAAGCAAUGGUCAGGAAAACAACCAACAGUGUCAGUGGGGUGGUAGGAUUCUGAGCUAUUUUCCCCCCUCUUUUCUCUGUUCUGCAAUAUGUUUAUAUUAUUCUUAUAAUUAAAUAUAAGUUUAUAGUUAAUGGACUGCAUAAACAGUGUGCUUCUACUAUUGUUAAAAUUAUUUGUGCAUAGAAAAAAUAUUAGAAGAAAAUAUACCAAAAUGAGGACUUCCCUGGAGGUCCAGUGGUUAAGAUUCUGUGCUUCCAAUGCAGGGGACAUGGGUUUGAUCCCUGUCUGGGGACUAAAAUCCCAUGCACUGCAGGGCAAGGCCCCCCAAAAAGUAUCUAAAGGGAGAAAAAACUAGAAACAAAAACAAAAUACCAAAUUGUUAGCAGUGAUUAUAAUUGAAUGGUAGGAUUAUGCAUGAUAUUUUUAAAAUUUUUUUCUGCCAUAAGAUUAUAUUAUUUUCUCCCAUAACUUGAAAAUCUUCAUAAUUUUAAAAGUGCAUAAUCAGUACAAUCUCACUGGUGUUAAAAGUAUGGCUGUAAAUUGAAAAAAAUGGGAAGGAAAUAUAUUAAAAUAUUAAGUUUUUAUAUUAAGUGGUAAAGGAUUAUGGGUAAUUUCUCCUUUUUUCUUGAGUUUUCUGUAAUGUGAUUUUAUUGCUUUUAUAAUUAAAAUAAAAUAAAUAUGUACAAAUGGCAUAGGAUCCGAUUUUUGUUAAAAAUGUAUAUAUAUAUGUGUGUGUAUGUGCAGGUGCAUUAAGUAAUAAUAAAAUACUCCAAAAUGUGGUUGUCUCUGGGUGAUGGGAUUAUGGGUGAUUUAUGUUUUCUCUCUCUUUCUUUGAAAACUAUACUAUACUGAAGUAUAGUUAAUUUACAGUGUGUUGGUUUCAGGCACACUGUUUUCUCUUUUAUACAUGA
Molecule: transfer RNA, 4093 nt
Filed under: Cervus hanglu yarkandensis (Yarkand deer)
Lineage: Eukaryota; Metazoa; Chordata; Mammalia; Artiodactyla; Cervidae
Description: lncRNA (ENSCHYG00000021867.1)
Rfam family: tRNA (bases 3403-3475)
Source: RNAcentral